RNAcentral lists this signal recognition particle RNA (297 nucleotides) under Cebus imitator (Panamanian white-faced capuchin). RNAcentral's name for it is "Metazoan signal recognition particle RNA (ENSCCAG00000002469.1)". It matches the Rfam family "Metazoan signal recognition particle RNA". From Rfam's summary of the family: The signal recognition particle (SRP) is a universally conserved ribonucleoprotein. It is involved in the co-translational targeting of proteins to membranes. Lineage: Eukaryota; Metazoa; Chordata; Mammalia; Primates; Cebidae. The record is from RNAcentral.
GCUGGGCACGGUGGCACGUGCCUGUAGUCCCAGUUACUUGGGAGGCUAAGGUGGGAGGAUUGCUUGAGCCCAGGAGUUCUAAGCUGUAGUGUGCUAUGCUGAUUGGGUGUCCACACUAAAUUCGGCAUCCAUAUGGUGACCUCUGGGAAGCGGGGGACCACCAGGUUGCCUAAGGAGUGGUGAACCGGCCCAGGUCGGAAACAGCAGGUCAGAACUCCCAUGCCCAUCAGUAGUGGGAUCUCGCCUGUGAAUAGCCACUGUACUCUAGCCUGGGCAACAUAGCGAGACUCCGUCUCU